GAUGAUUGGAGCUUGCUCCAUGAUUCAGCGGCGGACGGGUGAGUAAUGCCUAGGAAUCUGCCUGGUAGUGGGGGACAACGUUUCGAAAGGAACGCUAAUACCGCAUACGUCCUACGGGAGAAAGUGGGGGAUCUUCGGACCUCACGCUAUCAGAUGAGCCUAGGUCGGAUUAGCUAGUUGGUGAGGUAAAGGCUCACCAAGGCGACGAUCCGUAACUGGUCUGAGAGGAUGAUCAGUCACACUGGAACUGAGACACGGUCCAGACUCCUACGGGAGGCAGCAGUGGGGAAUAUUGGACAAUGGGCGAAAGCCUGAUCCAGCCAUGCCGCGUGUGUGAAGAAGGUCUUCGGAUUGUAAAGCACUUUAAGUUGGGAGGAAGGGCAGUAAGUUAAUACCUUGCUGUUUUGACGUUACCGACAGAAUAAGCACCGGCUAACUUCGUGCCAGCAGCCGCGGUAAUACGAAGGGUGCAAGCGUUAAUCGGAAUUACUGGGCGUAAAGCGCGCGUAGGCGGGUGCCUAAGCCGGAUGUGAAAGCCCCGGGCUUGAGCUGGGUCCUGCAGCUGACACGGGGCGACUAGAGUACGAGAGCGGGGGGGAGAAAUCCACGUGUAGCGGUGAAAUGCGUAGAUAUGUGGAGGAAUACCAGUGGCGAAGGCGGCUCCCUGGCUUGAUACUGACGCUGAGGUGCGAAAGCGUGGGGA
This 703-nucleotide non-coding RNA is filed under the name Halioglobus sp. HI00S01. RNAcentral describes it as "Bacterial small subunit ribosomal RNA". It matches the Rfam family "Bacterial small subunit ribosomal RNA", at positions 68 to 767 of the family's 1533-position model. Lineage: Bacteria; Pseudomonadati; Pseudomonadota; Gammaproteobacteria; Cellvibrionales; Halieaceae. The record is from Rfam by way of RNAcentral.